UAACAAAUAUCAAAGGUACCCUUCGUAAUUGGGCGGACUAUUUAAACUUACGUUGCCCUGCCUCCUCCUUUGGUCUCAUAUGCCACAUUGCUGAACUCGGAACAGCCAACCCCGCUGUGACAUUGCUGAAAACACUUGUUGCUAAUACUGUUACUUAUAAUGUUGUAGUUAAUAGACAAGCUAACUUGCCAACAGCCACGUCGUAUGUAUUCCCCAAUAUUGUUGACUCGUUUUGGACGGCUCCUGCUGAAGAGUUAGCUGUUAAUGCCGAACACAACGCUAAUUUCACCAAGUUCCUCACCUGACAAAAGAUGAGCAUCCUCCAGAACUUGCACCCUCUCCUGUAAGCUGUGAGCUUCUUCUCUAUUUCCUCUGUGAGAGAGAACAAGGGUGGGAUUGAUGUGAACGACAGAGACCAAGAGAGGAAAAAGGCUCAUUUUAUACACCAUUUAUUCAGUUUGACUUAACCAACACAUGAAACACUGCAGCCUUGCCACCAUGUUCUGUGACCAAAAGGAGAAGGUUGGUUUUCCCAAAGCUGUGCAGAGAGACAAGAAUUAUCUGAAGAAGAAGAAAUGAUCUCCGAGAGAACAAGUUCCUGCUUAUAACAAGGAGAAUCUGAGAUGUGGAACAACUUUGACAUUACUGUCAGCAACAACAAGAUUUUGGGUUUUAGUAAUUGACACAUUUGGAUUUUAAUUGGGCUUUUCUGGUUAAAAACAAAAUCCACAUCGUUUGAAUCUUGUUGGGAGUCUCAUCUUGACAUCCCAGCCUCUGUUUUCUUAAAUGACAAAUUCAGAAUAAUGUGAUAGUAGUCUGUCAAAACAGUUUUUUUUUUAAAUCACAAAAUAAUUGUUUUCCAAGCUUUUCCAAACACAACAUAAUCAUAAGUCCCUUUCACACAUAUUUCCAUUCUGACUUUACAGUACUACACCAGAAAGUAAUGGCUUCAACAAAAAGGUUUUCACUACAAAAGGUCAAGUAAAUUUGCAAACUAAUUGCCUAUUUUUGUGUGAGGAAGAACAGAACUGUUCUAAGUCUUUCAUGUGUAAACAUGUAGAGGAAAAACUACUAAAUGUCUUAUCUGCAGUUAAGUCAUAAAGUCAAAAACGCUGAGUGUUGAGAUUUGCUGCCAAGUUUUGUAAAUUGUUUUAACACUUUAGACUUUUCUGAGCAACUCGUCACCUUGAUGCUACAUCUGCACUGGACAAGAAUAAAAAUAUAACCAAAACUCUUA
Thunnus maccoyii (southern bluefin tuna) is the source of this 1237-nucleotide long non-coding RNA. RefSeq lists it as uncharacterized. The record is from RefSeq and is a predicted model, not a curated record. Lineage: Eukaryota; Metazoa; Chordata; Actinopteri; Scombriformes; Scombridae. The transcript is spliced from 3 exons.